AUGACCGACUGCAUCACAGAAUACAUCAGGUUCUGUGAACACACCACCAUGCCAACCCGGACUGUACGCUGCUUCCCUAAUAAUAAGCCGUGGAUCACCAAUGACCUGAAAGCCCUUCUUAACAAGAAGAAGAGGGCGUUCAGCUCUGGAGACAGGGAAGAACUGAGGAGAGUGCAGCAUGAACUCAGGGAUAUGCUGAGGACCUGUAAAGACACCUACAGGAGGAAGCUGGAGGCCAAACUCCAGCAGAACAAUGUGAGGGAUGUGUGGACUGGUAUGAAGCAGAUCACUGGGUGUAAGGUGAGCGGCAGACAGUCAUCGGGCAGCCUGGAGAGGGCAAACGAGCUGAACAGAUUCUUCAAUAGGUUCAGCUCACACCCUUCUGUCGUCUCCAUGACACCUCCAGACCCCCACACACCCUCACUGCCCCAAAUGCUUCCUCCCCUCCUCCCUCACUCCUCUGAUGUGAGCUCUCCUGUGCAGCACCUCUCCUCAUUCUCCUCCUCCUCCUCCUCCACCUCUUCAUCCUCCACCUCUUCCUCCUCUACCUCCUCCUCCUCCACCUUUACCUCCUCCUCCACCUCCUCGUCCUUCACUGAAGACACCAGCAGCCUCCCCCGCAUGACUGUGACUGCAGGCCAGGUUAGGAGACAGCUGGAGAGACUCCACCAGCAGAAGGCUGCAGGCCCUGACGGUAUCAGCCCCAUGAUCCUGAAGACAUGUGCCAGCCAGCUGUCUCCUGUCCUACAACACCUCUACAACCUGAGCCUUGGUCAAGAGAGAAUACCGGUGCUUUGGAAGACUUCCUGCCUGGUUCCUGUUCCAAAGAAGUCGACACCAUCAGACCUCAAUGACUAUCGACCAGUGGCCCUCACAUCUUACGUCAUGAAGGUGCUUGAGAGACUGGUUUUGGCCAACCUGAGGCCGCAGGUGAGAGCCCUGCUAGACCCUCUGCAAUUUGCUUACCAGCCCCACUUGGGAGUUGAUGACGCUGUCAUCUACCUGCUGCAACGAGCCCAUUCACACCUGGAUGGUGGAGGAGGUACUGUGAGAAUCACAUUCUUUGAUUUCUCUAGUGCUUUUAACACCAUUCAGCCACUGCUACUGGGGGAGAAGCUGCGGGUGAUGGGUGUAGACGACACAAUGAUCUCCUGGAUUACUGACUACCUGACAGGCAGGCCACAGUUUGUCCAUAUGGGCAGUGUUCUGUCUGAUGCGGUGGUUAGUGAUACAGGAGCUCCACAGGGGACUGCACUGUCUCCUUUCCUGUUCACCUUAUACACCACUGACUUUCAGUACAACACCGGGUCGUGUCACCUGCAAAAGUUUUCUGAUGACUCGGCUGUUGUUGGGUGUAUAAGUGAGGGACAGGAGGAGGAGUACAGGGCACUGGUAGACAACUUUGUGGAGUGGACUGGACAGAAUCACCUGCAGCUGAACAUCAGCAAGACCAGAGAGAUGGUGAUAGAUUUCAGGAAGAAGAGGAAGACGGCUUUCCAACCUCUGUGCAUUCUGGGAAAGGAUGUGGAGACGGUGGAGGAUUACAAGUACCUGGGUGUUACCAUCAACCACAGACUGGACUGGAGAUCUAACACUGAAGCUGUUUACAAGAAGGGAGAAGUAGACUUUACUUCCUGA
Molecule: long non-coding RNA, 1638 nt
Organism: Sparus aurata (gilthead seabream)
Lineage: Eukaryota; Metazoa; Chordata; Actinopteri; Spariformes; Sparidae
Source: Ensembl